This 503-nucleotide ribosomal RNA is filed under the name uncultured bacterium. Its description in RNAcentral is "partial 16S ribosomal RNA". It matches the Rfam family "Bacterial small subunit ribosomal RNA", at positions 30 to 523 of the family's 1533-position model. The record is from RNAcentral.
AUUGAACGCUGGCGGCAGGCUUAACACAUGCAAGUCGAGCGGGGUGAUGGUGCUUGCACUAUCACUUAGCGGCGGACGGGUGAGUAAUGCUUAGGAAUCUGCCUAUUAGUGGGGGACAACAUCUCGAAAGGGAUGCUAAUACCGCAUACGUCCUACGGGAGAAAGCAGGGGAUCACUUGUGACCUUGCGCUAAUAGAUGAGCCUAAGUCGGAUUAGCUAGUUGGUGGGGUAAAGGCCUACCAAGGCGACGAUCUGUAGCGGGUGUGAGAGGAUGAUCCGCCACAGUGGGACUGAGACACGGCCCAGACUCCUACGGGAGGCAGCAGUGGGGAAGAUUGGACAAUGGGGGGAACCCUGAUCCAGCGAUGCCGCGUGUGUGAAGAAGGCCUUAUGGUUGUAAAGCACUUUAAGCGAGGAGGAGGCUCUUUUGGUUAAUACCCAAGAUGAGUGGACGUUACUCGCAGAAUAAGCACCGGCUAACUCUGUGCCAGCCGCCGCCGUAA